CCUACGGGAGACUGCAGUGGGGAAUAUUGCGCAAUGGGCGAAAGCCUGACGCAGCGACGCCGCGUGCGGGAUGAAGGUCUUCGGAUCGUAAACCGCUGUCAGCAGGGAAGAACGGUCACUGUGCUAAUCAGUAGUGAAUUGACGGUACCUGCAAAGGAAGCACCGGCUAACUCCGGGCCAGCAGCCGCGGUCAUAAGGAGGGAGCGAGCGUUAAUCGGAAUUACUGGGCGUUAAGCGCUCGUAGGCGGUAUGUCAAGUCAAGGGUGAAAUCCCCGCGCUCAACGUGGGCACUGCCUUUGAAACUGGCAAACUGGAGUGUGUGAGAGGAUAGUGGAAGUCCAGGUGUAGGAGUGAAAUCCGUAGAUAUCUGGAGGAACAUCAGUGGCGAAGGCGACUAUCUGGCACAUAACUGACGCUGAGGAGCGAAAGCGUGGGUAGCAAACAGGAUUAGAUACCCCGGUAGUC
This 465-nucleotide ribosomal RNA is filed under the name uncultured bacterium. RNAcentral describes it as "partial 16S ribosomal RNA". It matches the Rfam family "Bacterial small subunit ribosomal RNA", at positions 338 to 795 of the family's 1533-position model. The record is from RNAcentral.